UCUGGGCAGAACCUGGGAAGGGAUGUGGCCAUCGGGGGAUCCCUCCAGGCCAUCUCCUCAGAUGGGGGCUGGUCGACUAGCUUCUGAGUCCUCCAAGGAACCGGGUCCUUCUAGUCAUGACUCUGCCCAGAUGAAGAAGGAGAGCACUUCUCUCCAUCAGGAGGAUCUGAGCUUCUCUUAAUUAGAAUCAGCUCCUUGGCUUCUACCCCUUAAAAAAAGGUUAUUUUCCAGAAUCUUGGAAUCAGCUGGGUCUGGUUUGAGCGGCGCCUAAGACUGACUCUCCGUCUGGGCAUGUGCCGGCAUCUACCCUGUGAAAACUCCACCUCCAGGUCGGUGCUGUGGACCUGCAGAAGCCAGCAGGCAGGAUGAUCAUGGUCACCUGGCCACACAGCAGCACACAGAAAAUGCCGCUCAACUAUCCCGAGAGUGAGGUUGCGACAUUUCAACACUGGAGAGCGCCAGAGACCGCGAAAUCCAAUCCAGGCUCGAAGGGCUGCAGCACCAAAUGUGUCCACCAGGCGGCGCGAGAGCUGGAGGAGGGCCGGCACCUCUAGGUUCUCCCUGUGCUGUGAUGGGGCAGAGAGGGAUGCAAGCCCAAGAGGACGGUCUUAGGACCCAGCCAGGUUACCAGUGCUCUUUACCCCAAACGGUUGGGGAAACUAAAGCUUUAGUCUAUGAGCUAAUAUGUGACCAGAAAAAAAA
Sus scrofa (pig) is the source of this 702-nucleotide long non-coding RNA. RefSeq lists it as uncharacterized. The record is from RefSeq and is a predicted model, not a curated record. Lineage: Eukaryota; Metazoa; Chordata; Mammalia; Artiodactyla; Suidae.